GAUGAACGCUGGCGGCGUGCCUAAUACAUGCAAGUCGAGCGAACGGACGAGAAGCUUGCUUUUCUGAUGUUAGCGGCGGACGGGUGAGUAACACGUGGAUAACCUACCUAUAAGACUGGGAUAACUUCGGGAAACCGGAGCUAAUACCGGAUAAUAUUUUGAACCGCAUGGUUCAAAAGUGAAAGACGGUCUUUCUGUCACUUAUAGAUGGAUCCGCGCUGCAUUAGCUCGUUGGUAAGGUAACGGCUUACCAAGGCAACGAUGCAUAGCCGACCUGAGAGAGUGAUCGGCCACACUGGAACUGAGACACGGUCCAGACUCCUACGGGAGGCAGCAGUAGGGAAUCUUCCGCAAUGGGCGAAAGCCUGACGGAGCAACGCCGCGUGAGUGAUGAAGGUCUUCGGAGCGUAAAACUCUGUUAUUAGGGAAGAACAUAUGUGUAAGUAACUGUGCACAUCUUGACGGUACCUAAUCAGAAAGCCACGGCUAACUACGUG
RNAcentral lists this ribosomal RNA (497 nucleotides) under uncultured bacterium. RNAcentral's name for it is "partial 16S ribosomal RNA". It matches the Rfam family "Bacterial small subunit ribosomal RNA", at positions 28 to 507 of the family's 1533-position model. The record is from RNAcentral.